This 544-nucleotide long non-coding RNA is filed under the name Actinia tenebrosa (Australian red waratah sea anemone). RNAcentral's name for it is "uncharacterized LOC116305964, transcript variant X2". The record is from RNAcentral. Lineage: Eukaryota; Metazoa; Cnidaria; Anthozoa; Actiniaria; Actiniidae.
AAGACUCUUGAGAGUGAGAUAAAUUUUAGGUCAUCAAAAAUAUGUAGCAUAAACAACCAAUUGUGUUUCUUACCCAUUCUAUGGUUUCAUUGGUACCCAAGCUAGACCAGAAUGCAUUUCGUUUGUCUAGUUGAGAAUGUCUGGACUUCACACACAAGCAGUUCAUCACNUAGAUGAAGCAGUGUAGACGUCCAUUUGAACUACUUCAUCGUCUAUCCAUGGAGCUACAAAAUCGGAGUUAAAAUUGUGGCUAAGUUCGAGUAUACUACUGUGGUCCGUCAUUUUGAAUGAAAAGUGUGCCGCGUUCACCGGAACUGUCUGUGUGGUUAGAACAACUCAAGUAGUGUUGGAGAUUUCUGCUGAUGUUUUAUGGAUCGCAGGAGAAAGUGUGGAGCGCAGCGUUUUUGAGUAAAGAAUAUCGAAUAUAAACUUUCGUGCACGCAAUCAAGACGCCAUAUUGGAUUAACUGAGAAGGGCAUUGUGGGACCAUACUUCCAGACAUCGAGUGCUGAACCGUCGUAUGGCAGCGCGAAGCAUUUACGGC